RNAcentral lists this ribosomal RNA (442 nucleotides) under uncultured bacterium. RNAcentral's name for it is "partial 16S ribosomal RNA". It matches the Rfam family "Bacterial small subunit ribosomal RNA", at positions 338 to 795 of the family's 1533-position model. The record is from RNAcentral.
CCUACGGGGGGCAGCAGUGGGGAAUAUUGGGCAAUGGAGGCAACUCUGACCCAGCAAUGCCGCGUGAGUGAUGAAGGUAAUUUUAUUGUAAAGCUCUUUUCUUUGGAACGAAUAAAUGACGGUACCAAAGGAAUAAGCCCCGGCUAACUACGUGCCAGCAGCCGCGGUAAUACGUAGGGGGCAAGCGUUGUUCGGAAUGACUGGGCGUAAAGGGAGCGUAGACGGUUAUGUAAGUCUGGAGUGAAAGCCCGGGGCCCAACCCCGGGACUGCUUUGGAAACUGUGUAACUGGAGUACAGGAGGGGCAGGCGGAAUUCCUGGUGUAGCGGUGAAAUGCGUAGAUAUCAGGAGGAACACCGGCGGCGAAGGCGGCCUGCUGGACUGAAACUGACGUUGAGGCUCGAAAGCGUGGGGAGCAAACAGGAUUAGAUACCCGGGUAGUC